Molecule: long non-coding RNA, 920 nt
Organism: Dinoponera quadriceps
Lineage: Eukaryota; Metazoa; Arthropoda; Insecta; Hymenoptera; Formicidae
Exons: 5
Source: RefSeq, a predicted model, not a curated record
GAGCCACGUUGACUAUGUUGCUCCGAAUCACGCUGCUCGGCACGCUCGCGCGCACCUUCUGCGCCUCCACUCCGGGGACCUGGACGCAAAGAGGAUUGGAAUGUCAGUUUCGGAAAUUCAUUUCGACAUCGGCGGAGACGAUCACUGGCUACUCACGCGAGCGACCUCCGCUGUCGAAACAGUUGGCAGCGUCACUCCGGACGGCAGUUUAGACUUCGACUUGGCUGUCACGUGAAAUGGACACGUCAGAUGGACUGGUGGAUCAAGUCUGUAAAGGUUUGCGAAGGUGCCGGUGAAGAAAACUUACACGACGCAUUGCUGGUUCGAGCUGCUGACGGCGGACCCGGACUGGUCGAACACCAGAGGCAUCGUUGGAUUCAAGGCCACGGAUUGGCUCACGCUCGUCGUCACCUGAUUACAUCGUCGAGUGGGAAAUUAUAACAUUGAUAUUACGUCAGUCUAUUGGUUGGUAUUCGCUGGCUGUAAUAAAGAAGACUCUCGGGAUGCGCAAUCUUUGGAUAAUUGGAAGAGGCCCGUAAGAAGCCUGUGGCACUGGCGGAUUAGUUUGCGAAAUGAAGAAAUUACUUGACUUACCAAGUCGACGAGCCUAAUGUCGUCCAGGCGUUUCGCGCUCGAGGAUCCCGACCUCCCUCUCCUCCAGUGAAAACUACCGGUCAGUAGUCGCGGUCCGGAUUGGCCUCGACUUCAUCGACCAUCUCCGAUAAUGCAAGUUAGCUCAUCUUCGUCCAUACACACACAGUGGUCUUUGAGAAGCAGGCCUGGUGGUACGCAGCGACGGCCGACAUGCACACCCCGACGCUGCGGCGAAGUAACGGGACGCGGCGCGACCGACCGAUGCGCCGGAGCCGGUGUACAGCACGCGAAUGUGAUGUCUCGAAGUACAUAGAGCAGUGCCACGU